Molecule: long non-coding RNA, 5102 nt
Organism: Numida meleagris (helmeted guineafowl)
Lineage: Eukaryota; Metazoa; Chordata; Aves; Galliformes; Numididae
Exons: 4
Source: RefSeq, a predicted model, not a curated record
GUUCCGCAGGAGCCAGUGCUGCUGUCACCUCUCUUGGCAUGAGCAACUCCAGUUCCAGCAGUCUUCCUUGUCUUGUGAGAGCAGACAAUGAAUUAGGAUUACUUCUUCAAGAGAAGAGCCCCGAAGAAGUCUUCUAUUUCUAUUUCUUCUGCUCGUGUGUGCAUCUCUCAGGACCUCAACACUACAGCUUCCCUCAGCUGCGGUAAAAUUGGUGACCUUAGCAGUGAAGAGAAAAGUUUACUCUUCUCCCCACCUUAAUCAAGUGCUCUGCGGUUCUGAAUUUGAUCUGAUCUUACAGAUGCUUCUGCAGCUCGAAGGUUAACACUUAAAAUAAUGGGCAGUGGGAGAGGAAGAGGAGCAGAAAGGCUUUUCCUGCCUGCCCUUCUCUCCGCUCAUGCAGCGGGGAGGUAUUGCUGCUUCCUGGCACCACUAGCACUUCUGCAGCCUGCACAGCUGUUUGCCCUUGGGUGCUGGACUCAGAAUCAGAUUCAGCCCCACUGCUGUCCUCCUCUCUCUCCCUAACAUCUCCUGAUCAACGCUUUUUGCUGUCUCUGCCACCAAGGCUUUCAAUUUCCUACCAUCGGAUUAGGUCUCAGGUCCCUGUACAAACUAGUACCCGUCAAUCCACAGCAGUUUCACAACUUUGGAAUCUGUGCAGAUAUUCCUCCUGUUCCUGAUUUACCAGUGGGCUCAAAGGAAUGAAGUAGACAGAAUGAGGGUAAGCUAAAAGACUGGUUUAAAGAGCUAUGAAGAACAUAAUAGUUCACAUGCAUUUAGGACAGGCAGCAUGAAGUGCUGUACUCCUCAGCAAUGAGGACUGCCUACUGCUUGUGCUCAUAACUUCGUGACAGCAGCAGGAAGGGAACUCAGAUCUUGCUCCCAAGACCAGACUCUGAGCAGGCGAAUAAUACGAAGUCUGUGGCACAAAGCAAUAAGAUUCCAGCCAGCAGGAGAGAAGCAAUGAAAGGCACGAAGCCAUGCUCUAUCAGAGCCUUAAGGAAAUAACGCAGUUCCAUUUUGAAAAGCCAUUGGAUUACCCUGGAAUAAAUCCAUAUUGGAAAACAUUAUUACUCCUUAUUAAAUCAAAACCUGCUAGCUUGAAGAAAAAAUAAGUAGCGCUGUGCACUCUUCUGGGGGCUGAAAAUACAAGGCAGCUUGAUGCUAUGGAAAGAGCUCUUGAACUGCAACAGAACAUAAUUCUUUGCAGGAGGAAAGAAUGUAAAUAUAGAUAUAUAAGUUCAAGGACCUGUUUAGUUCAAAAAGACAUGGCUCAAAGAGCAAAGCAGUCAUCACUGUGUCUGGAGUUCCUGGGUUGUUUUUUAGUAAGGAUGCUAAAUGCAACGCAUUUAAUUAACAAAAAAAAUCUACAUGUAUGCAGUCAUCUAUUGGCAGUCCCUGAUGGCUAUGCCAAAAGCGGUAGUUUUGAAACCAACACAGCCCACAAAUGACUAAGCUCUCCCUCUGUAAUUAGCCUAGUUGAUGACAGCUCAGCAGCCCAGUCUUCUGGAUGCUACAAAGUUGAGUUGUGGCUUUUUCACGCGUCCACUUUUCUUUUUCCUCCUCCUUACAUCUCAUCCUCGAGUUUCAGUUUAUAGGUAAAACCAUACAACUGCAGCCUUCCAGGCUGAGAUGUAUGCGAAACCACAGAUCUCUCAUAUUCAAGCUGCAGACUCAGGUUUUCCUGAGGUUGUGUCCAUAUCCUACCGUAAUUUUCCACUGUCCACCCAUGGGCUCUCAAAGCUGAAUCUUCUCCAUCUUUUCCAUUUUCAGUGUCCUCUCCAUGUCCUGGUGAGAUGCACAACUUUAUUACAGCCACUCUCCAGAGAUGUGUGGACGCAUUCCUGAAAUGUGAAGACUGUGGCUCUGAGAAUUCAUCUGCCACGCUGGCUUCUAAUUGCAAGGCAAACAUCUCUCUAAACCACGGUGUUCAGGUUUCUGCAAAUGCCUCUAUCAAAAAUCUAAAUUAGAAGCAACAGCAUUUUCUUUUUAUGGAGUUCAACUUUGUAUUUCUCUCACCCAGGUGACUUUCUAUUUUAACGUUCAUCUCUUCCUUUUCUCUGCGUACCAUCUGUUCACAUUCAUUCUCCCUUAUUCCUAUACCGAGUAUGAUCUAGUGGUCACAGAAGACCGCACUUAUAAAACAUCUAGGCUCGUUUUUUGUUCAUCUGUUGUUGUUCCAUACAGUGGAUUGCUUUCACAUUCCUUAGUUUGGUCUGUUUAAAUUGUCACCUCCUGAGGGCAAAGACUGCUCUGUGUGUGUGCAUAGCCUGGAUCUUGCUUAGGAUCUGUGGGCACUACUGUGGGACCAAGGAUAAAUCCAGAGAGGCUGCCUGGCUGUAAGGCUGUGAAAUGGCCCAUUAGUGAGUAUUGCAUGUCACGGUGGAAAAGUGAAAAGAAGGAAAAAAUGUACCUCUGUGGAUGGCAUAGCUGAGCUGCACUUCGUUGUAGUGCACUGGUGUCACACUGAGGGUGAUAAACUGUUGAGAUUUUAAGAAAAAAAGAAACCCCUGUCACAGGCAGUGUUAGGAAGUACAUUGCUAAAGGUGCAUUAAACUUUGAUGGCUCUAUUUAUACAUUAUACAUGUGCAAGUCAGCAAAGUUGUACCAGUGGUAAUUUUCCAAAGGAAUCAGCUAAUAAUGUUACAGCACAUGCUGGAGCAAACUAUUGCACAGGUUGCUGCUCUUCUUUUUUUUUCUGUUUUUGCUUAUUAGCACACAAAAUAGGAAGCGCUCCACGCUGCUUUAUGCCCCUGUGUACAAUCCAAGGAGCAAAGCAAAGGGGAGCUGUACGGAAAUUUGAUAGAGAGAUGCUUUGCCUCUACAAACAGAAUGCUGAUGGAAAGGAGAAGAUGAAAAUUGGAGGUCCCCAUACAUUUGAACCACUCAGGACUCUCAAUCUUAAGGAAAAGCCCACUGCAAAAAUUAUGCAAACUAUGCAACAAGGAACAUCAGCGAUUUUGGGAAAGGCUGGACUCCUUCAAAGCCUGAGGCCACGGGUGUUUAGAAACCAUGCUGACAAACAGCAUAAAAUAUCCUCAUAGAGAGAGGCCGACAGCAAAGCAACCAGCUGAUACUUCAGUAGUUUUCUCCUUUGAAGCUGAACUCCAGCUGGUUACAUGGUUGGAAUAUGGAGGGGAAAAAAAAAAAAGGAUAGUAUCAGUUUUGUCCUCAAAAUACUAUUAAUGCUGUGGACAAUCACUGCUGCACAGGGUCAGGCAGAAGGCCUGGAGACUUGGGAGAGGGCAAUAACAAAUCUCAGAGACAUUUUGUUUUUAUUCCCUUGAUAGAAGAGUCUUAGACAAAGCAUCAGCAAGUCCUGAUCCAACUGGAAUUUUCUGCCAGCAGUUCUCCAGUGGUUCAUGUAAUACCUGAGACAGCGCAGUCCGAAAGGGCAAGCACCUGGAAAACCAAAGUUUCCUAGCAGCAGGUGAGAAGGCAUCAUCCUUUUCUCUCAUCUCCUGAGGAAUCCCUAAGACUCAAACAAUUUUCCAGGCUCUGAGAAAAAUGUAAGGCUCAUUUGAUUGUUUCUGUGGCAAAUGAAGGAAUGAAUGAAUAUGAUCUCUGCCCAACAUACGCAAAUCCCAAAGAUAACAGAGUUUAAACGGUCCCAAAGUAAAUGUCUGUAUCCUCAGGGAUGACAACAGAAGUGACAUAAAAAGGCUUUGAGGCAGCAACUGUGCACUUGUUCACUUUUUGCCCAGCGGCUGCCACAGUCUUUCUUCCAUGUUAAAACUUUGUUAUAUUCUACUCUAACAAGUAGUAAAAGCAACAGCAGAAGUAGUGGGAAUCUGCAGUUGAAGGGAAACUUAUUCCACAGCAGUAUUUAGCAGGUUGUGCUUCCUCCACCCAACGUGAACUGGAACAGAACCACGCUGUAACUCACCUCAGUGGCCUCUGUCAGCUCCAGGAACUCACUUUCAACACUCGUGUGCUAAGAAAGCUGCACCCUGAAUUUAAGUGCUGCCAAAUGUUUGCCCUUUUCCAAAUCUCAGAAGUAAUUCUGUGCUCGUUGCAGGAUGAAUCUCCACUGGAAAAAGAUCACUCUCACUUAGGAGACGGUAGAAGAGUGAACGCAGUGAUUUCUUCAGAGUACACUGCUCUCAGUUCACCUCUUCCUGCCCCUUUUCUUGUUGCUCCGCUCUCACCUCUGGCUGCAGCUCUCUACGUUGGGUUUAUUUCAUGCAGCACCUUGCAGAGCAGGGCUGCUCUCACUCCUUCUUGUCGUUACAUCCAAGGAAAUACAAAGGCAGAUGUCUCUCUACCCCGAAGCCCCCAGGUGCUAUCUCUGUAGCACAUAACUCUCACAAACAUGGCUUGCAUUUGCAGGAUACAAAAUUGAAAUUCCACCAACAAUACCGGGAACGCAAAAAAAAACAAGCACUGGAAUUGCUUGUGCUUUAUAGACACUUCCUGACAGGAGCUUAUCUCUGUCUGUACAACGCGUUGUUCUUCCCGUAAAUGCUGCAUGUUUCUAUAUUAUGGUUAAUGAAAUGCAGUCCUAACAGCUCGUAAGAUACAGGAGGACUGUCAGAGCUCCUUGCAGUGUCUGGAUAAUUCAGUGUGCGGUGGUUAACAAGAAGAAAAAUGUGGGAAAGAAAUGAUUAUUAGUGCAAGAAAAACAAACUGGGUGGAACUUGAUGACCAGAGGGAACUUUUAAUGACUUUCUGGCAUUCAGGUCUCAAUUAUGAGAGACACAACUCAGACCAUAAACAAUAUUUCUCUCUGGCAGAGCGAGGCUGCUUUAUUACUGGCCUCGGAAGGAGUGAAUGUUUUGAUAAUGGAGUUAAAGGAAAACCAGAACUGCACAAUUUGAGAGUAGCCUUUUCUGAUCAAGACGCUAGUGCUGUGCUAGGUGAAAAGUAAAUCAAUAAUACAGCCCCUGGGAAGGCUCUAUUUAUGAAAAAUUCUGUAAAUUGAUGCUUAUGUGCUGCUAGCAAAGAAUAAUAUUUUCUUUAAGGGGCCUAGAUCUCUGGAGAUAAAGAGAGGUUGGAAGGAAGUCAAGGUAUAUUUAUGUACUGACUGUACAAACACAUACUGUGGCUGAACGUGUCAAAUUUAAAACAUGAAGGACAGACAGAGAUGCAGGGAGGGCAGCCUUGCC